AUUUUGUGAACCACAAACCAUUUUUGUGCCAUUAUAUGAUUUGUGGUAUUUGCUUGAGUGAACCUGUAAGGUUUGUACCUUCUGGAAAGUGCUAGCACCUACAUAUUAUCCAAUUUUUUCUAAAUGUCAUGAGGCAUGAGCCACAAUAUUUCUCAAGAACGACCGUUGGUAUAUAUAAGGCAUGCAUACAAUUUUAAUAACACUCUUUUUGCUCUCAUUUAUCUGUUGGCAUAGAGCAUCGUAUAAUAUAGAAGUGUCAUUCAAACAUAGCUCUUUGAAUAUCGGACAAAAUAUUGGUUGGCUGAUUUAUUUAUAAGAAGAUUCUUCUAUGUAUUUAGUUACAUGAUUUUAAUUUGAUCGUCUUCUUUCAACUUUUUUUUGCCAAGUAUGAUAUUUCCUUAGGUUCACCUUGACCUUCACUGCUCUUGUGUAAGAGCUUAAGUAAAUUGAUCUUGUAUCAUCAGAAUCUGUAGCCUUGCAUAGUUUUUUUUGUCUGUACAUACACUUUAAUUUCUUGCUCGCACUGAAAUCCCUCUUUGUCACAGGAUGAAUCAGAAACUGAAGAUGAUGAUCCCAUGGACACAGAAGAAGCUUCCUCUGUCCUCAUCGCUGCACUGCAGUCUUUCAGCCAAGCUCUGGUGAACUUUGAAAUCCAGUUUAGAGAAUUGCUCAUGACUUGACAGAAAUCAUUCUUAUGAGCACAUCGUUUGAUUCUAUUACUAGGUCAGUCAACUUGAACUACCAUGUGGAAGUGGAACUAUUGUUGUCUGUCAGUUAAGACAGUCGGGAACUUGGUGUUGUCAUUCCUGGCUAUUGUAUUAGGAUACUAGCAGCACUUACAUGCAGAUAUGCUUGUGAUUCUAAAGAUAGUACACAAGGUGAUUGAUGUGUGGGUCGCUCAAGUCCUGUGGGGUGCUGGGCUAAAGGUGUUCCAUAUACAUGAACCAUAAACUGGAAUUGAAAUUAUUCUCCGCACGCACAAGUAAAACCUAUGCAAAGUGAACAAUCUCAUAGUUGCAGCUUAUAUUCAGUACUUCUUCAUUACAAAUGUCGAUUUCAAAGCAUUUUCUUUCUCUAAUUCUGCAACUUUAUAAACUGCAGCUCAGUUUUGCUCACAAAUGUUUUGCUCCUCAUAAAACUAAUUUUCUACUAACUGAUUUCCGUAUUUCCAUUAUAGUUUAUUCAUUACCAUGUUCAAGGAAUUAUCAGCGUUUUUUCUGACUUGGUCAACUUACCCUUGCAGUAAUUUAGCAGUUGAGAUCAAGAUGCUACUCCAAUCUAUAUAUGAAACCAAAUCAGGUGGGCUUGAUGACAAAGAGGUAAUAAGAGAUGAACUCUUCCAGUAUAAAAAGUUGAUGGUCCUAAUUAGUUUAUAGCUUAUUCCUUGAUCACUUUAAUUUACACGACGUCUCCAGGGCCUUUUGUGUUCUUUGGUAAUAUAUUUGAUUAUAGUCACAGCUUACGCAAGAUGAUUAUUUACGUUCCUAAUUUAUCUUCCUCUAUCAUGGUGGUAGGGAAACAUCGCCGUUAGUUUGCCUGAGAUAGAAGGACUUCACAUAAUUUUGUCAAUAGCAUUGAUCAGGACUUUUUUCUUAUUCUUUUCUAUUUGUAGACAAGGAAGAACCAUAGAGAAUCUCGAUCCUUACACUAUAGCAGUACCUGAAGCAGAGCAAACCGCUGUCUCAAAUUUAAUAGUAGAUGGAAAGGAAUGGUUGUUUUUGUUGCAGGUUACUCCAAGAACAAGUGCAUUGUCAAGCUAGAUGUUUUAUAUUAUCCGUCCAUAAUCUGGAUGCUUGUGUAUCCUGCGACUUGGUUCAUCCAGGAGGUAUUUGUGUUCAAACACAAGUGUGGGCUGCUUGCAGGGUAGAGCAUAAUUGGAUUUUAAAGCCAUUUAUAAUGUCCUGCAAAACUAUAAGUUUGAACAAAGAAACCACUUCAACUAGCCUAGGGCUAUGUCUAUUAGUCUUCCAGUAUUUCUUGGAAUGAGAUAACACAUGUUUCUUCAAGUGUCUACACACUACAUGAAUUGUAGGGUUGUACUUUGCCACUCAUAUUGCAGUACUCAACUGUAGCAUGGAUGAAGCAGGAAAGUGUGCUAAACCUUCUAACAUGGACACUGCACUUGUACGAGCUACGGGCCACUAUUGUUUGUCAUAUGAAUUGUACAUGUAGUGGUAAUGUACCACAUUUUUCAUGUAGUAAGGAUGAUACGUUAUACGGAGUAUAACAGUAUGGUUGCCGUGA
Molecule: long non-coding RNA, 2244 nt
Organism: Triticum aestivum (bread wheat)
Lineage: Eukaryota; Viridiplantae; Streptophyta; Magnoliopsida; Poales; Poaceae
Exons: 3
Source: RefSeq, a predicted model, not a curated record